This 642-nucleotide ribosomal RNA is filed under the name Pseudomonas sp. GTRS. RNAcentral describes it as "bacterial SSU rRNA". It matches the Rfam family "Bacterial small subunit ribosomal RNA", at positions 35 to 671 of the family's 1533-position model. Lineage: Bacteria; Pseudomonadati; Pseudomonadota; Gammaproteobacteria; Pseudomonadales; Pseudomonadaceae. The record is from RNAcentral.
GCUGAUGCACUCCGUUCUACCAUGCAGUCGAGCGGAUGAAGGGGGCUUGCUCCUGGAUUCAGCGGCGGACGGGUGAGUAAUGCCUAGGAAUCUGCCUGGUAGUGGGGGAUAACGUCCGGAAACGGGCGCUAAUACCGCAUACGUCCUGAGGGAGAAAGUGGGGGAUCUUCGGACCUCACGCUAUCAGAUGAGCCUAGGUCGGAUUAGCUAGUUGGUGGGGUAAAGGCCUACCAAGGCGACGAUCCGUAACUGGUCUGAGAGGAUGAUCAGUCACACUGGAACUGAGACACGGUCCAGACUCCUACGGGAGGCAGCAGUGGGGAAUAUUGGACAAUGGGCGAAAGCCUGAUCCAGCCAUGCCGCGUGUGUGAAGAAGGUCUUCGGAUUGUAAAGCACUUUAAGUUGGGAGGAAGGGCAGUAAGUUAAUACCUUGCUGUUUUGACGUUACCAACAGAAUAAGCACCGGCUAACUUCGUGCCAGCAGCCGCGGUAAUACGAAGGGUGCAAGCGUUAAUCGGAAUUACUGGGCGUAAAGCGCGCGUAGGUGGUUCAGCAAGUUGGAUGUGAAAUCCCCGGGCUCAACCUGGGGAACUGCAUCCAAAACUACUGAGCUAGAGUACGGUAGAGGGUGGUGGAAUUUCC